GAUGAAGAACGCAGCGAAAUGCGAUAAGUAGUGUGAAUUGCAGAAUUCAGUGAAUCAUCGAAUCAUUGAACGCACAUUGCGCCCGCCAGUAUUCUGGCGGGCAUGCCUGUUCGAGCGUCAUUUCAACCAUCAAGCCCCCGGCUUGUGUUGGGGACCUGCGGCUGCCGCAGGCCCUGAAAACCAGUGGCGGGCUCGCUAGUCACUCCGAGCGUAGUAAUACAUCUCGCUCAGGGCGUGCUGCGGGUUCCGGCCGUUAAAAAGCCUUAUUUACCCAAGGUUGACCUCGGAUCAGGUAGGAAGACCCGCUGAACUUAAGCAUAUCAAUAAGCGGAGGA
This 335-nucleotide unclassified non-coding RNA is filed under the name soil metagenome. Its description in RNAcentral is "partial contains 5.8S ribosomal RNA, internal transcribed spacer 2, and large subunit ribosomal RNA". The stretch from base 1 to 120 matches the Rfam family "5.8S ribosomal RNA", at positions 35 to 154 of the family's 154-position model. The record is from RNAcentral.